CCUACGGGAGGCAGCAGUAGGGAAUCUUCCACAAUGGGCGAAAGCCUGAUGGAGCGACGCCGCGUGCAGGAUGAAGGCCUUCGGGUUGUAAACUGCUUUUGCAAGAGAAGAUUAUGACGGUAUCUUGCGAAUAAGAGUUGGCUAACUCCGUGCCAGCAGCCGCGGUAAUACGGAGAACUCAAGCGUUACCCGGAAUCACUGGGCGUAAAGCGUUGCGUAGGCGGUUUGUUAAGUGAGAUAUGAAAUCCCAUGGCUCAACCAUGGAACUGUGUCUCAAACUAGCAAACUGGAGGAUGGUAGAGGCGAGUGGAAUUGCUGGUGUAGGAGUGAAAUCCGUAGAUAUCAGCAGGAACACCAAUGGCGAAGGCAGCUCGCUGGACCAUUCCUGACGCUGAGGCACGAAAGCGUGGGUAGCGAACCGGAUUAGAUACCCUUGUAGU
This 440-nucleotide ribosomal RNA is filed under the name uncultured bacterium. RNAcentral describes it as "bacterial SSU rRNA". It matches the Rfam family "Bacterial small subunit ribosomal RNA", at positions 338 to 794 of the family's 1533-position model. The record is from RNAcentral.